ACCUCACCCUGACCUCCUUACAAACAGAAACACAUUGGAAUCAGGUCUACUAUCUAGAAGACUAUUUUUCAGAUGCAAUAAUUUAUCCAUCCUUUCAGCCAUUUUGAAAAGCCAUCUCUCGUUGCCAAACGAAGUGCUUCUAAAGUGUGCCUUUUCAGAAGAUCCCAAACCCUAUGUCCUCUCCAGGGAGAACAUUUCAAGCUUAUCAUUUCUCCAAGACAAACCUCAAAGGCAGAACUCCUCUCUCCAUGAGGCAGGUGUGAUUUAGCAGAACGUAGAAGAAAAGAGGAUUAUCAUUGUAAAACAGAGGUGCUGUCCCUAAUGACGUCACAAGGCAACAUUGUAUUUUUGAGACCUAGGAAUGACACAGACAGGGCCACUGUUAUUUCAGCAGCCUCAGAGAGACAAUGGCUGGGACAACAGUCCACGUGCACCACGAUGCACAAAAGAGCAUUGUUUUCUUCUUUACCUGCAAUGCUAAAGGUGGAAAAAUAAAACAGAAGAAAGUAAAAAUGAAGAGUACACAGGCGGCCCAGGAAAAGGUGGAAAAGGAGAGGGAGAGUGGAGAAAAUUGGAGG
Long non-coding RNA from Acinonyx jubatus (cheetah), 578 nucleotides. RefSeq lists it as uncharacterized. The record is from RefSeq and is a predicted model, not a curated record. The transcript is spliced from 5 exons. NCBI's taxonomy places the organism in Eukaryota, Metazoa, Chordata, Mammalia, Carnivora, Felidae.